AGAAUUUUUUAUAGAAGUAUUUAUAAUUAUAGAACAUACUUACUUAUAAUUAUU
This 54-nucleotide transfer RNA is filed under the name Dracunculus medinensis (Guinea worm). RNAcentral's name for it is "tRNA-Phe". Lineage: Eukaryota; Metazoa; Nematoda; Chromadorea; Rhabditida; Dracunculidae. The record is from RNAcentral.